ACGAAGCCAUUAAUUUGGCAAAAUUCUAUUCUGUGAAUAUAUCUUUUUGCUUUGGGACGGAUCACUACGCAAGUGGUGGUUGGUCCCAAACAUUUUAAACUCUUCAAUUGAUUUAUUGUCUGAACUGAAUUAAAAUAAUUAUUCA
This 145-nucleotide unclassified non-coding RNA is filed under the name uncultured Saccharomycetales. Its description in RNAcentral is "sequence contains ITS1". The record is from RNAcentral. Lineage: Eukaryota; Fungi; Ascomycota; Saccharomycetes.